AAGGAUUGCUCAGAGCCUGGAGCUGAUCUGCAAAUUUCUAAUCCUCCCUGCCACGGUCCCAUUUCUUCCCACACUUUCUGCUGUUGAGAAAGAAGAAAGUAAAAAGGGAAAUUGAGAGUCGGAUGGGCUGAGCAGAGAGCAGGAGCUGAGAUUUGUUUUUCCUGGCUGACACACUGGGUGCUGUUGGUGCGCUCGCCACUUCCUUGAAAGGCCAGUACGGGGGGGAGAAAAGAGAUUAAGGUCAUCAAGAUAAUAGAAAGAAUAUUCAGACUGGAAGCAGAGGGGAAAUAUUGAAGGCCUGUUUUUCCAGUGGCUCUGUGCGAGCUGGACUUCCAGCAGAACACCUGCAGAGAGGGAUACAGCCCUGAACCUCGCCUUGGCAGAAACGUGCGUUGGUGCGUUGGUGCAUUGUAGAACCAACAGCGCCCGCAAACCAGCUCCGAAACCUAUUGAUCCGCAAACGUAUCGAAAGCCAGCAAGACUCUUUCCAUCGACUUCAGCGAGCUUUGCAUCUGACCUCGGUUGCAGACAUGCUUUUUGGAGGAAUAAGCUGUCCCUGCACAAAGGGAAACUACCUUUUGCUGCGUUUUGUACCACAGCAGAUUUAUUCUGUGCAGUCCUUCCCCCCCCCCAUGUGUUUUAAAGGGAGAAAAUAAAUCUCUAGCAAUGUAUUGACUUAAUGGGGUUUGAAUUUUCUAAUAAGGGACGCGCCAGA
Long non-coding RNA from Alligator mississippiensis (American alligator), 715 nucleotides. RefSeq lists it as uncharacterized. The record is from RefSeq and is a predicted model, not a curated record. The transcript is spliced from 3 exons. NCBI's taxonomy places the organism in Eukaryota, Metazoa, Chordata, Crocodylia, Alligatoridae.